CCCCUCUCAGGAUCACACCUGGAGAGUUUCCAGUACUUUACCAGUUUUGGCUAGGGAAGGGAGAGUAAAGCAGAGGCCUACCCAUUCCAUUUCUAGCUUGGCCAGCGGCUAGCGAGUGGAAGGUGAUCUGCUACAAGU
Ornithorhynchus anatinus (platypus) is the source of this 138-nucleotide small nucleolar RNA. NCBI's taxonomy places the organism in Eukaryota, Metazoa, Chordata, Mammalia, Monotremata, Ornithorhynchidae. The record is from RefSeq and is a predicted model, not a curated record.